AUGCAUUGAUCUGGUUCUGUACAGUACAUACAAUGUACUCUGCCCUGAAUCCCAACUGUAUGAAUGUGAUUGAAUGCAGAUUGUAAUUACUUGUAUGCUGUAAUUAUUAUUAAAUAAAAAAGUUUCUCUUAUGAGAUCUGUGAGUAGCCUUGUAGGUCCAGUUAUGCCUUGAAAAUGUCUGCAGAUCAAUGUAGGAAGCCUGUGGUUAAUAUGUGACUCAUGAGAUUCAGGGCUGAUUUUUGUCAAUUUUCUGUUUAAGAUUUCCUGACAAGAACAAAGAGCGUGACCGCUACCUCACUUGGGUUAGAAACUGCAGAAGGGAUAAAGAGCCUAACAAUGGAUCACGCAUAUGCAGCAAGCAUUUUCUGCCGAAGUAUAUUUUCAAACCUGCUGGUAUGCAGAGGACUCACCUGACAGAAGAUGCCUGUCCAACUGAAUUUGAUCUGCCAGAACACUUGAAGAUUUUCAAUGAUCCAUUACUUCAACAAACUGAAGAUAUUGCUCCAUCCCAUACAACAAAACCGCCUGGUACACCUGUACCAAGUACAUCUCAUGAAAAUGUACAAUCUGGAACUCCUGAGCCCUCUCGUAGUUGGCACUCGAACAAAAAGGAGGGUUAAAAAGCCUACAGCCAGUGACAAGCGGCAUGAGGUACUUCAAGAAGCCCUCCAUCAGUUAAGAAACUUGUCUCAAUCUGAAGAGGGUGAUAACGAUGAUCAAAGUGAUUUUGGUAGUGUUGUUACCAGUGAUUUACUAAAAAUGAAUGAAGAAAAUAAGGUUCUUGCAGAGAAACUCAUAUCGCAAGUGCUUUAUAUCGGAAAAUUAGGCAAACUCUCAUCAUUGAAUAAUUAUGGCUGAAGGUAAGAAUUAUAUUAAGAGGAAGGACAUGUUUCCAUAUGUGUUUAUGGAUAGGUAUAAUUACAAUGUGAUAUUUCUGAAUACUUUGAAUGCUUGGUAAAUAAAAAAAACUAUUAUA
Molecule: long non-coding RNA, 976 nt
Organism: Macrobrachium nipponense
Lineage: Eukaryota; Metazoa; Arthropoda; Malacostraca; Decapoda; Palaemonidae
Exons: 2
Source: RefSeq, a predicted model, not a curated record